RNAcentral lists this ribosomal RNA (411 nucleotides) under uncultured prokaryote. Its description in RNAcentral is "partial 16S ribosomal RNA". The record is from RNAcentral.
CCCUAUGGGGUGCACCAGGCGACAAACAGAAUCAGCAUUUUCAUGACGCAUUCAGCCAGGUUCGUUCUGCACAAACCUCCGCCUCCCAGAUAAUACCCGCGUCCGCCGGCUGGAGUUUCAGCUAUCGCACGACGAAAAUCUGGUUGCAGAGCGUGCCGUCCGUAUCCACCCGCCGGACGUAAGCGACCGCCCUGCCGUCCGGAGAGAACACGCAGGCCUCCGGACGAGGAGCGUCCGCGGGGUCGCGCCGGGGGGUCAGGCGCGUGGUGUCGCCGGUUGCGCUGUCCGUGGCGCACACGCUUCCAUCCAUGACGUGGGCGAUCCGACGCCCAGCGGGACUCCACGAGAACGCACUCGCGAUGGGCCAGGGAUUACGGGUGAGUUGGCGCAGAUCGCCGUUGGCGGGAGGGC